AUGUUUUUGGUGAGAGUUUCAAGACCUUCCUAAUGAAAGAAGAUAUGGACAUGAUUAUAUCAUCAAAAGAAGUAUCAUCCAAUUGUAUCUUAUACUACAUCUGGUUUAACUAGGCACUUGCAUAGAAAGUUGAUUGAUGCAAAGCAAGUUGAACGAUAUGUUUUUGUCAAUCCAGUAUUGGUUUCGAAAGCUGGAAUGGGAGAAGGAAGCAAGGAAAACAGUUUCCACUGGGUCUUAGUGGCACUAGAGAUGAAGAGAAUGAUCGCAUAUUACCUUGAUCCAAUGGCUUC
Long non-coding RNA from Vitis riparia (riverbank grape), 290 nucleotides. RefSeq lists it as uncharacterized. NCBI's taxonomy places the organism in Eukaryota, Viridiplantae, Streptophyta, Magnoliopsida, Vitales, Vitaceae. The record is from RefSeq and is a predicted model, not a curated record. The transcript is spliced from 3 exons.